This 717-nucleotide ribosomal RNA is filed under the name Triticum aestivum (bread wheat). RNAcentral's name for it is "partial small subunit ribosomal RNA". Lineage: Eukaryota; Viridiplantae; Streptophyta; Magnoliopsida; Poales; Poaceae. The record is from RNAcentral.
AUGGCGUCGAUGCAGGCUCCCGCGCCGGGGCCGUCAGGGUACCCGCCGCACGGCGGCCAGGCCGCGCGCCCGCAGUCCACGGCCGUCGCCGUCACGGCGGCCAGCAACGGCGCCGGAAACCCCUACGUGCAGGUCACCCCGGCCAGCGCGUCCCCCUCCACCUGCCAGUCCAUCAUGAAGGCGCUGGGGCGGUACGGCAAGCUGCUGGAGGACGGCACCCGCAAGGCCGCCGACACCACCGGCAACAUCUGGAACCACCUCCGGACGGCGCCGAACAUGGCGGACGCGGCGGUGGCGCGGCUGGCGCAGGGGACCAAGGUGUACGCGGAGGGCGGGCACGAGAGGGUGUUCCAUCAGGUGUUCGGCGCCGUGCCCGGGGAGCAGCUCCGCAAGGCCUACGCCUGCUACCUCUCCACCUCAUCCGGCCCCGUCAUCGGCACGCUCUACCUCUCCACGGCCCGCCUCGCCUUCUGCAGCGACUCCCCCGUCUCCUACCACGCCCCCUCCCCCACCCAGCCGCCGGAGCCCAUGUACUACAAGGUGGUGCUUCCGCUGAACCAGGUGAGGACGGUGAGCCCGUCCGCCAGCAUGUGGAGGCCGUCGGAGCGGUACAUCCAGGUGGCCACCACCGACAACCACGAGUUCUGGUUCAUGGGCUUCGUCUCCUACGACAAGGCGCUCAAGCACCUCUCCGACGCCCUGCAGCGCCGUCCCUGA